Molecule: ribosomal RNA, 682 nt
Filed under: uncultured soil bacterium
Lineage: Bacteria
Description: bacterial SSU rRNA
Rfam family: Bacterial small subunit ribosomal RNA
Source: RNAcentral
AGACAUGCAAGUCGCACGGUGUAGCAAUACACAGUGGCGAACGGGUGAGUAAUGAAUCGCUAACGUACCCUGGACUCUGGGAUAGCUGCCCGAAAGGGCAGGUAAUACCAGAUGAUAUAACUUUUCCGCAUGGAGAGGUUCUCAACGGUCCGCCGGUCUGGGAGCGGGCGAUUUCGUAUCAGCUUGUUGGUGAGGUAACGGCUCACCAAGGCGACGACGCGUAGCCGGACUGAGAGGUUGGCCGGCCACAUUGGGACUGAGACACUGCCCAGACUCCUACGGGGGGCUGCAGUAACGAAUCUUCCGCAAUGCACGAAAGUGUGACGGAGCGACGCCGCGUGUAGGACGAAGCCCUUCGGGGUGUAAACUACUGUCAGGGGUUAGAAAGUUCUGAUCAACCCCAGAGGAAGGCACGGCUAACUCUGUGCCAGCAGCCGCGGUAAGACAGAGGUGCCGAGCGUUAGGCGGAAUCACUGGGCUUAAAGCGUGUGUAGGCGGACAAUUAAGUACCUUGUGAAAUCCCACGGCUUAACCGUGGAACUGCUGGGUAUACUGGUUGUCUUGAGCCACUUAGGGGCGAGCGGAACAAAUGGUGGAGCGGUGAAAUGCGUAGAUAUCAUUUGGAACGCCAAUGGUGAAAACAGCUCGCUGGGAGUGUGCUGACGCUGAGACACGAAGCCAG